RNAcentral lists this ribosomal RNA (652 nucleotides) under uncultured bacterium. RNAcentral's name for it is "bacterial SSU rRNA". It matches the Rfam family "Bacterial small subunit ribosomal RNA", at positions 253 to 898 of the family's 1533-position model. The record is from RNAcentral.
UGAGGUAACGGCUCACCAAGGCGACGAUCAGUAGCUGGUCUGAGAGGAUGAUCAGCCUCACUGGGACUGAGACACGGCCCAGACUCCUACGGGAGGCAGCAGUGGGGAAUUGUUCGCAAUGGGCGCAAGCCUGACGACGCAACGCCGCGUGGAGGAUGAAGGUCUUCGGAUUGUAAACUCCUGUUGCCCGGGACGAAAAGCUUCGACCUAAUACGUCGAAGUCUGACGGUACGGGGUGAGGAAGCCCCGGCUAACUCUGUGCCAGCAGCCGCGGUAAUACAGAGGGGGCAAGCGUUGUUCGGAAUUACUGGGCGUAAAGGGCGCGUAGGCGGCCUGUUAAGUCGAACGUGAAAUCUCCGGGCUCAACCCGGGAACUGCGUCCGAUACUGGCAGGCUUGAAUCCGGGAGAGGGAUGCGGAAUUCCAGGUGUAGCGGUGAAAUGCGUAGAUAUCUGGAGGAACACCGGUGGCGAAGGCGGCAUCCUGGACCAACACUGACGCUGAGGAGCGAAAGCCAGGGGAGCAACGGGAUUAGAUACCCCGGUAGUCCUGGCCCUAAACGAUGAAUGCUUGGUGUGGCGGGUAUCGAUCCCUGCCGUGCCGAAGCUAACGCAUUAAGCAUUCCGCCUGGGGAGUACGGUCGCGAGGCUGAA